RNAcentral lists this long non-coding RNA (1540 nucleotides) under Homo sapiens (human). RNAcentral's name for it is "HSALNT0295736". Lineage: Eukaryota; Metazoa; Chordata; Mammalia; Primates; Hominidae. The record is from RNAcentral.
UCCAGAGGGGAAAUGGGGACCGACUGCUUACAGCACAAUACAGUGGGAAAACCAGGGGUUUGAAUCCUGGUUCAGCAACUUUGGGAAGGUACUUCACCUUUCUAAGCUUAAAUUUUCUCACUUAUAAAAUAAAAAUGACAAUCACCUGUCUUUUGUGGAGGUGCUGGGAGGAUCAGCAAAAGUGUUCCAAGAUGCCACACACUGCGUGGGCACUGAGAACACAAACACACUCCACAAGCUCGGAGCUUUGGACCAGUAACAGAAGAUUGACAGCUCAAUUACAAUACAGUGUGCUCUAGAGUAAAACAGGAAAAAAGGUCUCCCCGAAUCUGCUUCCAGACUCCCUCACUUGGACAGAAGCUAGAGGAAGCCUAGUACUGGGGAAAGAGAACCCAAGCUUCUUCCCUUUCCACUGUCCCAGAAGCCAACCCGUCCCUCUGUCCGGUACACAUUCGACACUGGAGCCGUGGAUUCUUCAAACAACGUGGAAGCACCCCAGAACAUAGAGUGAGCUGAGUUCUGCAAAGGAAGGAACGUUCUGUCCGACUAAAGAUGCUGGAAAGGACCUGGGGGACAUUCUGCCAGAAUUUCCCCCUCUUGGACUGACUUUUUUGUGUAGAUUAACUUUCUCUUCACCCUGGGCUCCUCAUAAAUUCUAAAUUAUUUUAUUCCACUCCCAACUGAAUACGGGAGGAGAAAGGGAAUUUGGUCUUCAAGAUUUGUUCUUCUAGUAUCUAAUUAAGAAGAGAAAGUGAAACAUAAAGCCAGAGAGCUGAAAAUAGCCACGAGAAAGGGCAUGAGCCUGUCUGUCAAUACACACAUGCCGAGCUCCUACCCCCACAGAGAUCGUGCUCAGCAGAGGCCUUCUGAGAAGCAGGAGAAAAAAGGGAGGCUGUCUUUUCAGAUUUGUGAACAACUGCCCUAAGGAGCAAGAAAAUACCAUGAGAAACAAGCUCAGCAUUAGGCCCUGGCCGUGGAGGGGUUAUCAUUGGUCUGCUUCUGUCCUUUCCAGCAAAGACUGAGGAAAAGAAGUGAAAGUGUUGGCAGUUCCCAAGCCAGGGAAAACCACAAGAAGUAAAUUAGGUAGUGGGCUACAAGCCACUUCCCAGGAACCCCAUCUUGGUUAGUGAUCAUUUUGGUUGAUUGUCUUUUUUUAAGAGAGAGAGUUAAUAGAGUGAGAGAGAGAUAAGCUGCCAUCUGUCAGAAGUGAUUUUUUUUUUCCCGGCAGGAGCAAGAGGUUAACCAGAGAUAAUGGUUCCUCUUGGCCAAGAUCUGUCUUUUCUCCCCAUACUCCCUCCAGAGAAGCUGGUGGUGGCACCUCCAGAGCUGUGCCAGCCAGUACAGUCACCACAAGCCACCUGUGGCUCUUGAACACUUGAAAAGUGGCUGUAGGUGUUAAAUGUGCAGCAAAUAUAAAAUACACACAGGAUUUUGAAGGCUUGGUAUGAAAAAAAUCUCAUUAAUAACAUGUAAUUGAUUUACAUGUUGAAAUAGUAUUUUGGAUAUAUCAGGUUAAAUAACAUUUAUUAUUAAAAGUAAU